RNAcentral lists this unclassified non-coding RNA (263 nucleotides) under plant metagenome. RNAcentral describes it as "partial contains small subunit ribosomal RNA, internal transcribed spacer 1, and 5.8S ribosomal RNA". The record is from RNAcentral.
UUUCCGUAGGUGAACCUGCGGAAGGAUCAUUAUUGUAUAACCGAGGUGCGAGGGCUGUCGCUGACCCGAAAGGUCGUGCACGCCCGAGUGCCCUCACACGCAUCCAUCUCACCCCUAUGUGCACCACCGCGCGGGUCCCCCUUUGGCUUGUUCGGAGGGGGGCUUACGUUUUCACACAAACUUUGUAUGCAGUGUAGAAUGUAUUUUUUGUUUUUGCGAUCACGCAAUCAAUACAACUUUCAACAACGGAUCUCUUGGCUCUC